GGAAGCAGAGACAGGUCGGUGGGGCGAGGCCUCAGAACACCCAGCAGGCUUGGCCCCACGUCUCAGGAGAGGAGAGACUGCCUGCCCGGGUUGGGGAGGGCGCCUCUGUCCUCUAGGAGCCCAAGGCCCCGGGAGCUUCCCAGUGCUCACUUGGGCUGCAGCCUGCAGUGUGUGGGUUUCACUUCCUGCCCUGCCCAGGGUUAGGGCUGCUUCUGCCAGCCAGGCCAUCUCCCUGCCAGCCCUGGGUCUCCACAGCCUGUUUCCUGCCAUCUUUUCGCUCUGUUGUAUGGCCUCCCUCCCGCCAGGUGUCUGCUGUGAGACAGACCCACGGGGCCUGGCAGACGGGUUGCCCAGGCAGCGGAAGGGUCUCUGGGCCUCGGUUUCCCCACUGGUGGAACAGAGGCCUUUUCGUGCACCAUGCAGUGGUUGGGUCUGCUGAGGGCUCUGGGGCAAUGGCUGGCCCUUUGGGAGGGUGGAGUUCGUCUUGAACAGCGGCUGCCCAAGGAGCUUUCUCCGGUGACAAGAGUACACUGUGCUCGGGCACACAGGCCUUCCCAUGCAACCAAGGCCCUGCCGUGUCACUGGGAUUCACGGUAGAUCUACGUAGCCGCCUGUGGCUCGUGGCUGCCACGCGGGGCCUGCCAGGUCCGGGGUCUAUCCCCGUCGGCCCGCCAAGGUCCCUCUCACCAGCAUCCUGUUUUUACUGCACACAUAGUUUGCAGCUGCCCUGAGGGCCGCCUUUAGAGAGAGCAGUCCCUCCUGCUGAGGCCACGCACCCUGAGCACUGUCUGUCCCCACGUGGCUGCUCUGAGCUCAGCUCUGCUCCAUAGAUGGGGAGAGAAGGGCAGGAGGGACCUGGCACCACCUGGCCGCUCCAGCAUCAUGGGAGUGGUGGCCACGGUGGGGAGGCGGGAGCCCCGCUGGGAGGGCGCUGGGCUAGCUGAACUGCACGGCUUUCACCAGCCAGUGCCUGUUGUUUUCUAGGUUGUGAAGGUUGGAAUUGUGGAGCCAUCCUCGGCCACAUCAGGCCACUGGGGACUCCCGCCCUGCCCACCCCCAGGGGCUGCCUGGCCUUCUGGCCACAUCCUGGUCCGGAGGGCCUGGUGGCACCCGGGCAGAGCAGCAGGUGGGCUCAGCCUGCCCUGUGACUCCUCCCCAAAGGCGACUCGGACGACGCGGCCCCCUCGGGCUCUGGCACGCUCUCCUCCACCCCGCCGUCCACAUCUCCUGCGGCCAAGGAGGCCUCACCCACCCCACCCUCCUCCCCGUCGGUGAGCGGAGGCCUGUCCUCCCCCAGCCAGGGUGUCGGCGCCGAGCUGAUGGGGCUGCAGGUGGACUACUGGACGGCAGCACAGCCUGCGGACAGGAAGAGGGACGCCGAGAAGAAGGACCUGCCUGUCACCAAAAACACGCUCAAGUGCACUUUCCGGUCCCUCCAGGUCAGCAGGCUGCCCAGCAGCGGCGAGGCUGCAGCCACGCCCACCAUGUCCAUGACCGUGGUCACCAAGGAGAAGAACAAGAAGGUGAUGUUUCUGCCCAAGAAAGCGAAGGACAAGGACGUGGAGUCUAAGAGCCAGUGCAUUGAGGGCAUCAGCCGGCUCAUCUGCACUGCCAGGCAGCAGCAGAACAUGCUGCGGG
Molecule: small RNA, 1638 nt
Filed under: Pan troglodytes (chimpanzee)
Lineage: Eukaryota; Metazoa; Chordata; Mammalia; Primates; Hominidae
Description: retained intron
Source: RNAcentral